GGAUCUGGAGAUUGGCCUUAAUACAUGUUGAGCUUUAAAAGAAAACCCAACAUGGCCCUUGGUAAGGAACAGCUUCCUAACGCUAUUGGACAAGGAGGAUUUUUCCCAGUACUUGGCAAGUCAGUUAUUAAAAUAACAGUAAGGGCUUAUGCCUGUAAUCCCAGCACUUUGGGAGGCUGAGGCAGGUGGAUCACAAGGUCAGAAGUUUGAGAGCAGCCUGGCCAACAUGGUGAAACCCUGUCUCUACUAAAAAUACAAAAAUUACCUGGGUGUGGUGGCACGUGCCUGCAGUCCCAGAUACUCAGAAGACUGAGGCAGGAGAAUCGCUUGAAUCCAGGAGGCAGAGGUUGCAGUGAGCCAAGACUGUGCCUCUGAACUCCAGCCUGGGCAACAGAGUGAAACUCUGUUUUAGAUAGAUAGAUAGAUAGAUAGAUAGAUAGAUAGAUAGAUAGAUAGAUAGAGACAGAUAUAGAUAUAUAUGCUUCCUACUGCUACUGUGAUAAAUUACCACAAACCUAAAGGCUUGACACAACACAAAUUCAUUAUCUUACAGUUCUGGAGGCCUGAAGUCUGAAAUGGGGCUCAGUGAGUUCAAAUCAAGGUGUGGUCGGGAAGGCUGCGCUCCUUCUGGAGACUGCAGGAAGGACCUUCCCUUUCCAGCCUCUGGAGACUGCCCGCAUUCCUCAGCUUCUGGCUGUCAUCCUCUAUCUUCAAAGCCAGCAGUGGCGGGUGGAAUCUUUCUGGGGCUGCCUCCCUCUUUCACUCUCCAAUGUGCCUUCUGAUAACCCCAGCUGACCUUUGCAUCUCACAUCAGCUAACAACCUUAAUACCUACUUGCCAUCCAUAUAACAUAACAGCCACAGGUGCUGGGGAUCAGUAUGUGAACAUCUUUAGGGGGCAUUAUUAUGCAUACAUAAUGUAAUAUAAUAUAAUAUAAUAUAAUACAUCUGCCCUCUUUUAACAUAAAUGGUAGCAAACCACACACUGUUCUGAAUCUUGUUCUUCUGGCUUAAUACAUAGUAUAGGUGGUUCUAGUUAAAUACAUAAAUACUGAGGUUUUUUCCCUUUACAUUGAACUCAUCAAU
RNAcentral lists this long non-coding RNA (1085 nucleotides) under Macaca fascicularis (crab-eating macaque). Its description in RNAcentral is "lncRNA (ENSMFAG00000065403.1)". Lineage: Eukaryota; Metazoa; Chordata; Mammalia; Primates; Cercopithecidae. The record is from RNAcentral.